RNAcentral lists this non-coding RNA (204 nucleotides) under Alkalibacter saccharofermentans DSM 14828. Its description in RNAcentral is "raiA RNA". It matches the Rfam family "raiA RNA". Lineage: Bacteria; Bacillati; Bacillota; Clostridia; Eubacteriales; Eubacteriaceae. The record is from Rfam by way of RNAcentral.
AAGCUUCAGGUCUGUGGUUGAAAAUCGAUGCCAGUCGCAGGCGAAACGAUCCACGUAAGGCACCCAAAAAUGGGGGUCGAUCAUGGUGCGGCCUAGAUGUAAGCCCGGCCAAUCAACAAGGUUGAGAGAAGGAUUCGUGAGGCAACCCCGAGCUAAACUUCCAGCCGGCGGGUGUGGGGGCAAAAACCAGGUCAGCUGAAGCAU